This 303-nucleotide ribosomal RNA is filed under the name uncultured bacterium. RNAcentral describes it as "partial 16S ribosomal RNA". It matches the Rfam family "Bacterial small subunit ribosomal RNA", at positions 507 to 807 of the family's 1533-position model. The record is from RNAcentral.
AGCAGCCGCCGCGGGAAUACGGAGGAUCCAAGCGUUAUCCGGAAUCAUUGGGUUUAAAGGGUCCGUAGGCGGUCUUGUAAGUCAGUGGUGAAAGCCCAUCGCUCAACGGUGGAACGGCCAUUGAUACUGCAGGACUUGAAUUAUUGGGAAGUAACUAGAAUAUGUAGUGUAGCGGUGAAAUGCUUAGAGAUUACAUGGAAUACCAAUUGCGAAGGCAGGUUACUACCAAUUGAUUGACGCUGAUGGACGAAAGCGUGGGUAGCGAACAGGAUUAGAUACCCCUGUAGUCCCUGUCUCUUAUAC